Molecule: long non-coding RNA, 2634 nt
Organism: Humulus lupulus (European hop)
Lineage: Eukaryota; Viridiplantae; Streptophyta; Magnoliopsida; Rosales; Cannabaceae
Exons: 2
Source: RefSeq, a predicted model, not a curated record
UAAUCCCGACUUAUUCUUUUAGCUCUAAUAGGGUCUGCGCCCUCCACUUAUUCCCUUCCCUACGCAGGUUUCCUUCCUUUGUCGACAGCCUCUUCCCCUCUAACCCAAACCUUAGCAUUUCUCUGCCUCUCUCCAGUCUUCUAGUUUUCCUUCACCUCAACUUCUCUCUCUCAUUGACCAUACCUUGAGAUGAGCACAACGAUGUUUCCCCGACUCUGUUUUGGUACUGGGUUCGAACUGGUGCGAUGGUCGAUAGUUUGGAACGGGGCGCACAGCGUGGUCGAUAGGUAACAAGGUUUUUCAAAGUGGGAUUUUAGUUUCAGAUCUAAGGCAUUUGGUUUUAUUUGGGUGCGUUAUAUAAAUAUGUGUGUAUAGUUGUGUUUAUUUCUCUGAGUUCUUACGUUUGUUCCUCUGUUUUGGGUAUAGACUUUGAAUAUUUGUUUUUCUGAUGUGUGUAUAUACUUAACUGUUUUUAGUUUACAAAGAUUUUUGGACCAGGUUUCCUCUCUCAAGGAAACUCUGCUGAGUGAUAUUUAGGGUCGGCAAUGACAAGCAAAAGGUCAACUGGGUUAGCUUAUGAAUUUCCUUACAAUUUUUCAAUAUUUCUGAGUACUGAUAAUGUUAACUUUGUAGUAUUUUCGUGUGUUUUCAUAGCUUUGGUACCUUAGAGUAGAGUAUUACAUAAUUUUUUAGAUUAAAUGGUUCUGGUUUACUGCAUUUUAAGUAGUUUUGGCGUUAUAGAUUAGCUUUAUUAUGUGUCUAUUUUCUACUUUUGAAGCCUUCUUUUGGUUGGUUUUACUUUCUUUCGUGCUUGGCUGAAUUUUCAAUACGCACUUUUUCCUACUUUUUUUUGGACAAUCUGAGUUAGUUUCUUGGCUUAUCUUUUAUGGGUUAUGGCAAAUGCUAUUUUUUUCCUUCUUAUAGUUCUUUUAUCUCACUGCUAUGUGAACAAAUAAUGCGCAUCCUUUUUAACAUGUUCAGUUCUUAACAAUCAGCUUUAAUAAUGUGGGGAUUAGCUAGGUGAUUUAUAUUUACAUUUUUGUGUUUCGGUUUCAAGUCGACCAUUUUCUUUAUUAGCCUUUAGGGCUGUGCAGAAACGAUCUGAUCCAAUAACAAACCAACCGCUAAAAAUUGGAUAUCCAAUCAUGAUUGUAUUGGAUCGGAUGACAUUUUUAAAAAUCCAAUAUUGGAUCGGUCGGUUCUUGGAUGACAUGUAAAUCCAAUAGAUACAACCGACCGAUCCAAUCCAAUAAUGAUCCAAUACCAUCCAAUUAAUAUUCAGAUAAAAAAUAUAUUUUAUAUGUUUUUUAAAGUUAAAAUAUCAUUGGAUUUAUGUUGGGUUUGUAAUGUUUUGAACUAAUAUAUUAGUUGUUUAUGUGAAAAAUCAGGUUUAACUCUUCUAAGGAUCGGAUUGGAUGGAUCCAAUCAAUCCAAUUAAUAUUGGAUCAAAAAUAUUGGAUGGAUCCAAUCCGAUCUAAUAAAUAUUGGAUCAAUAAUAUUGGAUGGAUCCGAUCCAAUACAGGGAUUCAUAUCUAUUGGAUGGAACCGAUCCAAUCCAAUGACUUAUUGGAUCGGUUCAGUUCGGUUGAGCAUACAGUAUUGGAUUGGAUCGGUUGGAGAAAUCCAACAUCCAAUGUAUAAUUGGAUUGGAUCUGGAUGGGUCCAAAAACAUUGCAUAUGGUCCAAUGAACAACCCUAUUAGCCUUGGUUGGAAAAUAAGUAAUGAUGGGAAUUUUUUUUUAAUACGCUUAAAACCCCAAGUAUAAAUUGCUCAAAAAAAAAAACCUAAGUAUAAAAACUAAAUGUCUCAUAUUCCCUAACCCUAAAACUCGGCAGCCUCUCACUCGCUAUCUCUCUCAGUCCUCCUCACUCAUCUCUCACUACACCAACACCCAGUAGUCUUCUUCCAUUUUCGUUAGCCACCACCAUCGGCAGCACCACAACCAUUGGUCUUAAGUAUUCAAAACAGAGAUUCAAUUUUGUUAGUUUGCUUGAUUGGGAGAAAGGUAUUUGAUUAAAUUUUCCUUUGCUGAAUAAUUCUUUCUGAACUCAGCUCAGCUCAGCUCCAUAGGUUAUUUUCGUAUCGUUGUUGGAGUAUUUUUUUUUUUUAAUAAUGGUGCUUUUAUUUUUAUUUUUGACAUCAGAUUCAAAAUUAGAUUGGAUUUGGAAUUGGUUUGUUUGAUUAGGAGAUAGGCAUGUUUUCAUUUGAUCAUUGCCUCGGAAAUCUUUAUUGGCUAAGUUGCACUGUCAUAGUAAGUUUAUAAUGAGUAGUAAGUCUAAAAGAAGAGCAUACUACCCCAAAUGUAUAAAUGUGGCCUUGUUGUAUAAAUUCUCUAAAAAGCAAAAAAAAAUAAAAAAAAAGUAUUGAGCUGCUAGCAACAAUAUUUGUCAAAUUUGUUAAUUACCUCUUCUUCAGCCCUGGAGAAUGGGCCAGGUAUCAUUUCUUACCACCGGAUACCAAGCCGCAACAUUCAAUUGCUUUUUGUCCUUUAUAAUUCUCCCGAAACCUCCCAUGCCCUAAUCCGAACCCCAACUAUUUUGUAUUAGCCAAUAAUUGGUUUUUUAAGUAUUUCAUUCGUCAAUGAGUAUUUAAUUGUCUCCGUGCCCUCCCCAACGAGGAGCACCCCGUGCAAA